GAUACGGAUGAGUUCUGGAGUAGGAUGACUGAGAUUAUGUCAGCUCAGGCGAGGACUAUCACUGACGGGCUGACGAGCAGAUUAGAUAUUAUGUCAGCUCAGGCGAGGACUGUCACUGAUGGGCUGACGAGCCGAUUGGACAUCAUGUCUGCUGAGAUCAGUGAUCUGAGGCAGCAGAUAGGAGCACUCCGGAGAGAGAGAGAGACUCCUGGACCAUCUGUGCCACAGGCUGCUGAGUCAGAGAUUUCGGCACAGAGUCAUCCAGCUCGUCGUGCUCCACGCCAGACACAGUCUCACCA
This 299-nucleotide long non-coding RNA is filed under the name Phoenix dactylifera (date palm). Its description in RNAcentral is "long non-coding RNA (PDAC_LNC017945)". Lineage: Eukaryota; Viridiplantae; Streptophyta; Magnoliopsida; Arecales; Arecaceae. The record is from RNAcentral.